AAAACAAACCCAGUCAUUCAUCCAGCAGCUCUGUCUUUAAGGUGUCCCUCCAUCCUCCCUUCCUGCUCCUGCUCAGUUCUGAACUGCCCCUGUAGUGGGAGACUGAUGAAGCUGUUCAUUUUUGCCUGGAGGGGGAGGGGCCCAUUUCCCCUCAGAAACAAGCUAACAUUAGUCCAGGGCCAGGGAAGUACAAGUAUCGAUGGCUGAUCUCCGGAAUUUGACUGGAGUUCCACUGCCCAGACGUCACUUAACAAUUUACAUUCCAUUUUUCACCCUGAGUCCACACUACAUCUCUCUGUCAUAUAAUCCCGUCUGGCGCCCAGCCCUGCUAGCUAUCUGUCCUGAUGAAGUUUAAAAACUGAACAUUUCUCCCACUUGCGGCUCUGAGCUUGUUUUAGUAGAUGACUGCUCAUGGCAGAGGUGACCCAUUAAAUUCAGAAGAAGGACCACGACAAAAGAACCGCCUGAACGCCCACCCUUCUGCACCCUCCCUCCACCAGAUCUGGGGAAAAAAGAAACUGGCACACUUGCCUCCCUGCUGCUGCCCUGUUCAGCACGCUCACUUCACGAGCUCCUACAGAUGAAAGUGUAAUUGUGUGGAAGGUGAAUUGAUUGCAAUUAACCUCGGGACUUACCCUCAGGCUGGGGUAUUCUACCUUCUUUUCUAGGGACGUGCCACCGGGGCCAUAAUACAUAGCUGAUGAAUACAUAUAUCAUACAGGGAAACACAUAUAUUAUGGGAUAAAGUACAUAAAUCAUGUAGAAAAACAUGCAUUAUACGGAGAUGAUCAAAUUAUAAAUGAAGCACAUAAAUCAUAAGAUUACACUGUUGAAUUGUAUCAGGAAACAUAAAUUAUAUAGUGAAAUCCCAGGGUCACUGGAGGGUUCACUGAAUAAUGAAAUGAGCUCCUAUAACUUAAGGAAAAGUGGAGUAACUCGGUGAAAAAUCCAUUGUGCAUUAUGUUGAAUAUUCCAUUUAAUCCAAUUUUAUCUCCUAGACCUCCUGUGCCCAAGAAUCCAGGUGGCACACCAAGAGGGAGGGGACUACAUGCACAGCAAAUCAAUAUUGAGGGAUAAUGUACUCCAGCUACAUUCAAAAUAUAAACUUUCAAAUAUAGUAAACAUCUGUAGCUGAAUUCUCGAGUCCAUGUUGGAAAGGAUGGCAGUUCUAAAGUCAGCUGCAAAUAUCAAAAGGGCUACGUCUUGUUCCAAAAUGAAGAACGUCUUGAAUCUCAAGACGAUCCUAAAAAGAAAGAGACAAAAUUAAGAUUGGUUUGCUCUACGUGUAGAGAAGCAAUUGAAAUUUGGAUUGAUUCAUUGCAUUGAAUAAGGAAGAACAAAAACAUUUAUUUUAAAUUAUGCAUAUAUAAAGACUUUGCUUACCUUCCCUUGGGAUCAUUUUUCACAUUUGACUUUGUUUUUUUUCCCUUUACUUCUCUGUACCUUUGUUCACGCCUGUAUUAAUAGGAUGAAAGGGAAGCAAAAUGGAGAAGAGAAUUCUUUAACUUAGUUUUGCUUUUUAAAGGAAAGUCACAAGCUGGUAGAGGCCAUUCUGUGAGGCUUUAACAGAAGCCCGGGCAAAGACAGACUUUCACACACAAUACAGAACAAUGAUACAAAUCAGAUCAAUCUCACAAAGUUUCCCAGUGCAAUGGUCAUCCACAUGAAUUAUGUCCUCACUAAAGCAAGGGCCCGGAAUUCACAUCCGUCCGCAGCACUGGUGACUUAGGGUUAUGGUCAAAGCCUGGUGUACUGAGGGAUUCCUUAGUCGUAAACAAAGUGUUUGACCCCCUCUAUUCCUCAGGGCAAUAGAGAGCCCGAGCUAACUGAAUUUAUACAGUGGGAAUUGAUAGUUUAUUGCUGACCCUGGAGGGGCAGGGGCACUGACUCACAUCCUAUUUCUGGCUUUUCUUGGCAUUUGUUACUGCAGAUAAAGGUAGAUUGUGUCAAGAUGUGCUGCUGGUCCUGGAAUACAAUCGUGUCAAAACGCAAGUGCUAAAUUAUUUGAAGGGGAGCAAUAAAUUGGCACCCCCACACA
RNAcentral lists this long non-coding RNA (2038 nucleotides) under Ursus americanus (American black bear). RNAcentral describes it as "lncRNA (ENSUAMG00000021043.1)". The record is from RNAcentral. Lineage: Eukaryota; Metazoa; Chordata; Mammalia; Carnivora; Ursidae.